AGGCGGUUGGCGCAGUGGGAGCGCACUUGCCUGACACGGAAGGGGGCACAAGUUCGAAUCUUGUAUCGCCCA
RNAcentral lists this transfer RNA (72 nucleotides) under Bifidobacterium longum. RNAcentral's name for it is "tRNA-Val". It matches the Rfam family "tRNA". From Rfam's summary of the family: Transfer RNA (tRNA) molecules are approximately 80 nucleotides in length. Their secondary structure includes four short double-helical elements and three loops (D, anti-codon, and T loops). Further hydrogen bonds mediate the characteristic L-shaped molecular structure. tRNAs have two regions of fundamental functional importance: the anti-codon, which is responsible for specific mRNA codon recognition, and the 3' end, to which the tRNAs corresponding amino acid is attached (by aminoacyl-tRNA synthetases). tRNAs cope with the degeneracy of the genetic code in two manners: having more than one tRNA (with a specific anti-codon) for a particular amino acid; and 'wobble' base-pairing, i.e. permitting non-standard base-pairing at the 3rd anti-codon position. Lineage: Bacteria; Bacillati; Actinomycetota; Actinomycetes; Bifidobacteriales; Bifidobacteriaceae. The record is from RNAcentral.